GGAAUUCACUACUAGUGUGUAAAAGGAACUAAUUAGCAACAUCUGCCAACUCUCAUAAGAGAGGAUGUAGAGAUUGAGAUUGCUGAUCUAGAACUGCAAGAUCUCGAAGCCCCAAGUCGCAGGAACGAUACUAGUGACACCACAAUUGUCCUCACCUUAACCACCACCUUCUUAAGCUUCCCUGAUCGUGAUCGUCUCAAUUUGCUUCUCGACGCUAGCUUGUAGGAUUGUAGAAACAUCUGCCUUUGCUUAGCUUUAGCAACUCUAUAUCCAAAAGAAGCCAUCCCAGGAUGAGCUGACACAUUUCUAGGCUUGGAAGCCGUUCGCCGGCCAAGAUUUUCCGGCCUGUUGAAAGCAUCGUAGUAGUGAUCCAACGGCUCAUAACCGUUUAAUCGCCGGCUAAGACUUGUUGUGGCGCUGCGGACUAGGGUGUUCAUGGCUAGCUGUAAAUGAGCUGAUA
Molecule: unclassified non-coding RNA, 460 nt
Filed under: Hevea brasiliensis (rubber tree)
Lineage: Eukaryota; Viridiplantae; Streptophyta; Magnoliopsida; Malpighiales; Euphorbiaceae
Source: RNAcentral